ACUAGGGAUCGGGCCACCUCAACUAUGAUGUGUUGCUCGGCACCUUACGAGAAAUCAAAGUCUUUGGGUUCUGGGGGGAAUAUUGUCCCAAGGCUGAAACUUAAAGGAAUUGACGGAAGGGCACCACCAGGUGUGGAGCCUGCGGCUUAAUUUGACUCAACACGGGGAAACUCACCAGGUCCAGACAUAACUAGGAUUGACAGAUUGAUAGCUCUUUCAUGAUUUUAUGG
RNAcentral lists this ribosomal RNA (230 nucleotides) under uncultured fungus. RNAcentral's name for it is "partial 18S ribosomal RNA". It matches the Rfam family "Eukaryotic small subunit ribosomal RNA", at positions 1045 to 1273 of the family's 1831-position model. Lineage: Eukaryota; Fungi. The record is from RNAcentral.